ACAUGAGAGGUGUAGCAUAAGUGGGAGCUGUGGUGCCCUCGGGCGCCGCUGUCGACGGUGAAAUACCACUACUUUGAUAGUUUCUUUACUUACUCGGUGAGGCGGAGGGCGUGCGCGGUCGUCGAUUCGUCGCGGCCGCGUCACGGUGUUCUGGUUCCAAGGGUGUUUGGGUCGCGGGCGCCACUGGGAGGUGUGCGGGCGCGUCGGGGGGCGGCGCGUGUCGUCUCGUGCGGCCGCGUUCGCUUCGCGGCUCGUUCGCUCCGUCCCUAGCCCGUGUUUAUCCCACCCGAUCCGAUUCGAGGACACCGCCAGGCUGGGAGUUUGACUGGGGCGGUACAUCUGUCAAAGAAUAACGCAGGUGUCCUAAGGCCAGCUCAGCGAGGACAGAAACCUCGCGUGGAGCAAAAGGGCAAAUGCUGGCUUGAUCCCGAUGCUCAGUACGCAUAGGGACUGCGAAAGCACGGCCUAUCGAUCCUUUUGGCUUGGAGAGUUUCCAGCAAGAGGUGUCAGAAAAGUUACCACAGGGAUAACUGGCUUGUGGCGGCCUAAGCAGGGUCCAUAGGCGCAACGGUUCCGGCCCA
Molecule: ribosomal RNA, 581 nt
Filed under: Paracercion melanotum
Lineage: Eukaryota; Metazoa; Arthropoda; Insecta; Odonata; Coenagrionidae
Description: eukaryotic LSU rRNA
Rfam family: Eukaryotic large subunit ribosomal RNA
Source: RNAcentral